RNAcentral lists this ribosomal RNA (874 nucleotides) under Globorotalia truncatulinoides. RNAcentral describes it as "bacterial SSU rRNA". It matches the Rfam family "Eukaryotic small subunit ribosomal RNA", at positions 1367 to 1831 of the family's 1831-position model. The record is from RNAcentral. Lineage: Eukaryota; Foraminifera; Rotaliida; Globorotaliidae.
ACUCCCUUUACGCUACUAUUGUAGUAGCGCUCAUACUAUUGGACGGAUGCACGAGCGCGACUGCACACUAAUGCCCUAUCUACAUAUACUUUUUACCGCCUGUACGGGCACCGGGCCUUACCUUUACUGAAACUAGCUGGACCGCUGCUUUCCUUUAAGCCAGAGGAAGGUUGCGGCAAUAACAGGUCUGUGAUGCCCUCAGAUGUUCCGGGCCGCACACGUGCUACAAUGAUCAGCACAAAGAGUAUUACCUAUCUUCUUAUACCUAACCCAAUAUGUUAAACUUAUUGUGUAAGGGUAUUGUCUUAACGACUUAUCCGCUUUAGCGCUUUAAGAUUAUUGGACGGUUGUGCCUGCCUCGAAAGAGUGUACAGGGCAGCAAGAGUAAUGAUUCCCUCGUUUUUACUACUAAUACCGCGCUUGGUAACAUAUUACACUCGAUUAAGUAGGGUCUUUGCUUUUAAUAGCAAUUGCUAUCCUUACCCUUAGGCUCUAAGGAUAUUACUAUCUCUAAGGUCUACAGGGAGGUGUAUAUGGUGCACUUACUUAUUCACGGUGGGGACAGACCAUUGUUAACUGUUGGUCUCGGUCUCAACUAGGAAUGCCUCGUACGGGUUGGUUCACCAAACCACCCGGAAUAUGUCCCUGCCCUUUGUACACACCGCCCGUCGCUCUUAUCGAUGAACUCUCUUGUGAGGCUGAGGGACUGCGUCUAUUAUACCCAUGUAAUCCUAAUAUCUCACAUACAUUUCGCUAAAGGCGAUUUUGCUCUAAGGAUUUACACGACCUUACGCACAAACUUAUUCGACCAAGUGGGUUUAAAGGAAAGAGAAGUCGUAACAAGGCAUCAGGGUACCGAGCUCGAAUCGUAAUC